This 254-nucleotide ribosomal RNA is filed under the name uncultured bacterium. Its description in RNAcentral is "partial 16S ribosomal RNA". It matches the Rfam family "Bacterial small subunit ribosomal RNA", at positions 524 to 776 of the family's 1533-position model. The record is from RNAcentral.
UACAGAGGGUGCAAGCGUUGUUCGGAAUUAUUGGGCGUAAAGCGCGUGUAGGCGGCUUUGCAAGUCGGGUGUGAAAGCCCUCAGCUUAACUGAGGAAGUGCGCCCGAAACUGCAUUGCUUGAGUACCGGAGAGGGUGGCGGAAUUCCCCAAGUAGAGGUGAAAUUCGUAGAUAUGGGGGAGGAACACCGGUGGCGAAGGCGGCCACCUGGACGGCUACUGACGCUGAGACGCGAAAGCGUGGGGAGCAAACAGG